AUUGUUAGCUGUACUGUACAGUGGCUCACUUCUCUGCACAGAACAAAGCACCCGACUGAUCUUGAUGCCGAGAAGCUGCUGCGCUGCACCGUGCUCAAGAGUCUCAGAAGUUUAGGAAAUAUGGAGCUCGCCUCAAGUGAAUGCUUUUGAGUGACGUUGACGCCUCUAGAGAAGCAAGAUUUUCCCGUCCAGAAGUUCCAGCUGAGGAGAGCAGCAACGAUAAAAGAGGAUUUUGUACUCUAGCUGAUCAAGAAAGCCUGCAGCGAGGAAAAUGUGAUUUGGACCGUUGGUUUUCAUUUUAGUGCCGAUCUCACUUUGCCUUGAUGAAACAAAAGAUGGUGUGCCUUGUUUAUCACAGUUUAAAUAAGAGAGAAGGCUGUUUUUGGGUCGCGGUGUGCUGUGUGCGGUGGCACUAUUAAUCAUCAAGUUGGUAGGUGGAGUGUGUGAUUGCACUUCAAUCUUUAUGGGGUCCAUUAGCGCGCCAGAUAGCGGGAUGCAGCGUGACAAAUGACGCCCGGCUCGCUCUUUUGGCCGGCCGGCGAGUGAGUGAUCUCGUCCCCGAUUUUUUUUUCAGCCAGCCAAUGAGUAAUGAACGCAAAAUCAAUCGCCGCCUGCAUCGCGAAUUGAUAACGCCUGCCAUGGGGUCUGAUUCGGUGCAGCCCGGCCGUGGUGGCCAGCAACGAGCACUGAUUGUGAGUAAAAGUAACUCAAAGCGCUCAUCUCCCUGCCGGGGAGUGUUUACUUUCGUACAAAGCAACCCUGCGAUGUGUAACAUGGAACGAA
This is a long non-coding RNA of Cloeon dipterum, 783 nucleotides long. RefSeq lists it as uncharacterized. The transcript has 3 exons. The record is from RefSeq and is a predicted model, not a curated record. Lineage: Eukaryota; Metazoa; Arthropoda; Insecta; Ephemeroptera; Baetidae.